CACACACAAACUCAUCCCAUGGAGAGAGGAAAAACACGGAUCCCAUGGGGGCGCAUUAAGCCCUCUCUAUAAGAAAGCAUUGCUGUAAUGUUGUCUUGUAGGGAUUUUGCUGACGCUGGAUGUCUUCGUGCAGAGCAUGAGUGUAAAAGAUCCUGUUAUCCCUGUAGGACCGAUCCUUACAGCUUCUCCCGAAAUCCCAGCAGAACAAUAGCGAAGGAGUGAUUAUAGCUCCUAAUUCCCCAAGCAUGAGUCGAGACUUCAUGAAGGGGUAAAACGAUCUGCUUUAAUGCUGGCCACACGCGGCCUUUUAUGAUGGUCUCCCAGCAAGGAAACUCCCACAGAGGACCUUGUGGAAAACUGUGACACAAAAUACAGAGACAAUCAGUUUACAGUACAAUUAUUAAACACACCCACAGUAACAGUGCAACC
Non-coding RNA from Pelobates cultripes (western spadefoot toad), 429 nucleotides. NCBI's taxonomy places the organism in Eukaryota, Metazoa, Chordata, Amphibia, Anura, Pelobatidae. The record is from the annotation of a GenBank genome assembly.